GGCGGCGUGCUUAUACAUGCAAGUCGAACGGAAGAUGUAGCAAUAUAUCUUUAGUGGCGAACGGGUGAGUAACGCGUUGGUGACCUGCCCCAAAGAGAGGGAUAACAGUUCGAAAGGACUGCUAAUACCGCAUGAGUUCACAGAGAUUGGAAGGCUGUGAAGAAAGGCGAAAGCCGCUUUGGGAGGGGCCUGCGUCCCAUCAGCUAGUUGGUAGGGUAACGGCCUACCAAGGCGAUGACGGGUAGGGGACCUGAGAGGGUGGCCCCCCACAAUGGAACUGAAACACGGUCCAUACACCUACGGGUGGCAGCAGUAGGGAAUAUUGGUUAAUGGGCGAAAGCCUGAACCAGCAACGCCGCGUGUGCGAUGAAGGCCUUCGGGUUGUAAAGCACUUUUAGUAGGGACGAGGAAGGACGGUACCUACAGAAUAAGCCUCGGCUAACUACGUGCCAGCAGCCGCGGUAACACGUAGGAGGCAAGCGUUAUUCGGAUUUACUGGGCGUAAAGCGCGUGUAGGCGGUUCGGAGAGUUGGAUGUGAAAGCUCCUGGCUUAACUGGGAGAGGCCGUUCAAUACUUCCGGACUUGAGGAUGGUAGAGGAAGAUGGAAUUCCGAGUGUAUUGGUGAAAUGCGCAGAUUUUCG
Molecule: ribosomal RNA, 642 nt
Filed under: uncultured bacterium
Lineage: Bacteria
Description: bacterial SSU rRNA
Rfam family: Bacterial small subunit ribosomal RNA
Source: RNAcentral